UUACAGCCAUAUCACAGUGAAAUACCAGUUCUCAUACAAUCACUGAAAUUAAGCAACAUCUAGUCUGGUCAGUACCUAGAUAGGUGACCGCUUGGGAAUACCAGGUGCUGUAAGC
This 115-nucleotide ribosomal RNA is filed under the name Acanthosepion pharaonis. Lineage: Eukaryota; Metazoa; Mollusca; Cephalopoda; Sepiida; Sepiidae. The record is from RNAcentral.